CCUACGGGAGGCAGCAGUGGGGAAUAUUGCACAAUGGGCGAAAGCCUGAUGCAGCAACGCCGCGUGAGUGAUGAAGGCCUUCGGGUUGUAAAGCUCUGUCUUUGCUGACGAAUAAAUGACGGUAAGCAAGGAGGAAGCCACGGCUAACUACGUGCCAGCAGCCGCGGUAAU
This 171-nucleotide ribosomal RNA is filed under the name uncultured Clostridium sp. Its description in RNAcentral is "partial 16S ribosomal RNA". It matches the Rfam family "Bacterial small subunit ribosomal RNA", at positions 338 to 524 of the family's 1533-position model. The record is from RNAcentral. Lineage: Bacteria; Bacillati; Bacillota; Clostridia; Eubacteriales; Clostridiaceae.